GGAGGGUUGGCCGAGUGGUAAGGCAGCGGCCCGCUAAGCCGUGGUCAGGGUCAUCCCUGCGCGAGUUCGAAUCUCGCACCCUCCGC
RNAcentral lists this transfer RNA (86 nucleotides) under Actinomadura livida. RNAcentral describes it as "tRNA-Ser". It matches the Rfam family "tRNA". Rfam says of the family: Transfer RNA (tRNA) molecules are approximately 80 nucleotides in length. Lineage: Bacteria; Bacillati; Actinomycetota; Actinomycetes; Streptosporangiales; Thermomonosporaceae. The record is from RNAcentral.